Camelus ferus (Wild Bactrian camel) is the source of this 72-nucleotide transfer RNA. It matches the Rfam family "tRNA". From Rfam's summary of the family: Transfer RNA (tRNA) molecules are approximately 80 nucleotides in length. Their secondary structure includes four short double-helical elements and three loops (D, anti-codon, and T loops). Further hydrogen bonds mediate the characteristic L-shaped molecular structure. tRNAs have two regions of fundamental functional importance: the anti-codon, which is responsible for specific mRNA codon recognition, and the 3' end, to which the tRNAs corresponding amino acid is attached (by aminoacyl-tRNA synthetases). tRNAs cope with the degeneracy of the genetic code in two manners: having more than one tRNA (with a specific anti-codon) for a particular amino acid; and 'wobble' base-pairing, i.e. permitting non-standard base-pairing at the 3rd anti-codon position. NCBI's taxonomy places the organism in Eukaryota, Metazoa, Chordata, Mammalia, Artiodactyla, Camelidae. The record is from Rfam.
GGAGGUGUAGCUCAGUGGUGGAGUGCCUGCUUAGCAUGCACUAGGUUCUGGGUUCCAUCCCCAGUACCUCCA